UUUAGAUGAGGAGGCUUGGCUGGCUGUUGUGGGACCGUCCAAAAAGGAUAGAGUGUUUGGGUUAGGUUAUACCUUAGUUCCUCCAUCUAAAUCCAACAAUACAUCAUCUUAAAAUAGUAUCGUUGGAUGUGGUACGCAGCCACAUUCAAACGAUGAGGUGACGAGGGAGAUGCAUCCUAUGUAGGAGAAUAUGGAUAAGUUAAAUCAAACUAUUCAAGCACAACAAAAUUCAAUAGGUCAGGUUCUUCUUGCACAACAGCAAUCUAUAAACCAGAUUCUUCAUGGCUUGUCUCAAUUGAUACAUCCACAACCACCACUGACAUCAUCUGGAUUGACAAUUGAGCAUUCUCCUAGAUCUUUGGAUAUGACUUCGACUACAGCUCCACGACGUUGGUCAUCUACUUGGUGGGUUGCUCCUCCUGGAUGGAUGCCACCACACCCAUACACUCCAUCGAUAUUUUUUUCGGCAGCUCAAACUCCAACU
Molecule: long non-coding RNA, 484 nt
Filed under: Elaeis guineensis (African oil palm)
Lineage: Eukaryota; Viridiplantae; Streptophyta; Magnoliopsida; Arecales; Arecaceae
Description: long non-coding RNA (EGUI_LNC018637)
Source: RNAcentral